AUUGAACGCUGGCGGCAUGCCUUACACAUGCAAGUCGAACGGCAGCACGGGGCAACCUGGUGGCGAGUGGCGAACGGGUGAGUAAAGUAUCGGAACGUACCAUUCAGUGGGGGAUAACGUAGCGAAAGUUACGCUAAUACCGCAUAUUCUCUCCGGAGGAAAGCAGGGGAUCGCAAGACCUUGCGCUGAUUGAGCGGCCGAUAUCAGAUUAGCUAGUUGGUGAGGUAAAGGCUCACCAAGGCGACGAUCUGUAGCGGGUCUGAGAGGAUGAUCCGCCACACUGGAACUGAGACACGGUCCAGACUCCUACGGGAGGCAGCAGUGGGGAAUUUUGGACAAUGGGCGCAAGCCUGAUCCAGCCAUGCCGCGUGAGUGAAGAAGGCCUUCGGGUUGUAAAGCUCUUUCGGCCGGGAAGAAAUCGCAUGGGUUAAUACCCUGUGUGGAUGACGGUACCGGAAUAAGAAGCACCGGCUAACUACGUGCCAGCAGCCGCCGUAA
Molecule: ribosomal RNA, 498 nt
Filed under: uncultured bacterium
Lineage: Bacteria
Description: partial 16S ribosomal RNA
Rfam family: Bacterial small subunit ribosomal RNA
Source: RNAcentral